This 92-nucleotide small RNA is filed under the name Klebsiella pneumoniae. RNAcentral describes it as "partial RtT sRNA". It matches the Rfam family "RtT RNA", at positions 1 to 91 of the family's 130-position model. From Rfam's summary of the family: This family represents a bacterial cis-regulatory element known as RtT RNA. Lineage: Bacteria; Pseudomonadati; Pseudomonadota; Gammaproteobacteria; Enterobacterales; Enterobacteriaceae. RNAcentral also lists the same sequence under 1 other name. The record is from RNAcentral.
UAUUCUGCCCCACGGGGAAGGAUGAGAAGCUUCGACCAAGGUUCGACUCGAGCGAAGCGAGAGAACGUUGCCGCAGGCAACGGCCCGAAGGG